Long non-coding RNA from Manis pentadactyla (Chinese pangolin), 2234 nucleotides. RefSeq lists it as uncharacterized. The transcript is spliced from 3 exons. Lineage: Eukaryota; Metazoa; Chordata; Mammalia; Pholidota; Manidae. The record is from RefSeq and is a predicted model, not a curated record.
AGCGAGCAGGAAGACUCUUCCUCUCGGCUUCCCUGACUCCCACGCCUUCAGAAGGCUCCGCACAACAAGACCGCAUGUUGCUCUGUCGAGCGCCUCCGGUCAAGUGAGCAGGACUGGGGUCUGCGACCAGGAGCUGGGUUCCGUCCGGGUCACAGUUCAGGUUCUACUGGGCGUAUCUUCAGUGACAUCACUUCUUCAAGGGUCCAUUUCCUGGGCCCCUCCCUGAAUUCAGACUCGCCCACAUGCCCCUCUGGGCUGCUGACUGCCCACCCUCCUGGCCCUUGCCGUGCAUGAGUACACAGAUCUCCACCAGAGCCCUCCCCUCGCUCUUUGGCAAUGACACCAGGGUCCCAGCUCUGAGGAGACAAGAGCUGAGCUCAGGCCGCUUUUUGUCACCAGUUCCCUGUCACGCUGAAGCCACAGCAGCUGCCCAAUGUCCCAACCUGCACAGGGAGGGUCAUGCCAGACAUUCCUCCCUAGGGACAUCCCCAGGGAUACAUGGAUGACCCCUCCAGCUCCUGGGGGCUGGUGUCACGUGUGUGCGACGCACAGACUCAGAGAUGGAAGAAUGCCAACCAGGCUUGGCAUGGAGCGUGGAACACCACGCAAGUCAGGCCGGGGUCUGUGCCUUGUGAUCUUGGGCAAGUCGGUCUCACGCUAGGCUGUUUUCAGGUGUGCACCUUGAAGGGGCAGCAAUGAGAGGAGAUACAGGUGUUGCCAUCUACUGGCAUCCACCUUCCAAAGGUCCGGGUUGCUCUCAAACUAUGUGCUUUUCAGACCAAACAGUAAAUGGGUCAGAGUAGCACACUGGAAAUGAGGUCUAUGCUGCCUCUGAAAUCCGAGGUGGUCCACCGGGCUGCUGUGCCCUUUGUGUGUGGGGGGUGGAGGAGGGGUCCAGGUACAGCACCUUAUUCAUCACCUUAGGAGAGCUUGGCAUGUCCACACGAUAGACUUCUAGAAACUUCUCUAAGAUGAAAGGUCCCUGAAUUUUUGUUGGAUUUAUUUCCCACCUUCUGACACGUGACUGUGCUAUCAACAUGCCUAGAUGAGCUGUACUUCCUGAUCACUGGGUCCAGUCAGCCUAGUACCAUCACUGGGAUGGGCCAGUGUGACAUCUUCUGGAAGGAAAAGGAGAUGAAGGUUCCUUCUGACUAAAUGACAGCCUAAGUCUGGAGGUCUGAUAUGCCUCUGAGAUAGUUUUCUCUCCUUGCCGGCUGAAAGCUAACUGCCCUGCUGGUCUUUACUCAUAGGAGGAGAACAGAGAGCAUUUUCCUGACCAAUACUUACACACUGGGUGCUUGGGGAUCAAGUGAUGAAGCCCCACGUGCAGCAGUAGCUGCAAUUUGAGACACUCCGAUCACGGUGAUAAUCAUGCACAGUCAUCUCCAAGAUCCAUCCAUCCGUUUUCUGAGUAGGCCCCGUGAGUGACUUCAAUAAGGCCCUUCAGAACAUGGGAUAACGCCUGUUUUUAGUGAAUGGCUGAAUAAAACCAAUUAAUCGUCAAAUUCACUCAGCUGAAUUUUGGUGUGAUCCUGGGAGUAACUAACAGAAGGGCCCUGAAAGAAAACGUGAUUUCCAUUUUUGCUAUAAAGAAUAAAUGAGAAAUUAGUUUCAUGACAAAACUGUAACUAUAAAAUAAGAAAUAAAGUUUGAAGGAAAAAUACUGAAUUGUAUGCACAUGAUAAUAUUGACUCAUGGCAUAUAAUAAUUAAACAGAGAAAACUGCAAAACCGAUCUGAAAAUCCAUAGUUACAAUGGGAUAUUUUAAUAUAUCCUUUCAGAUAAAGAAAAACACAGUAUUUGUUGACAUUUGAUGGCUUCAACAACAGUUAAUAAAAUACUUCUAGGAAACAACUACAGAAGUGCUCCUUUCACAAAAAAGGAAUGUAUCUUUUUUUUUUCUGGAUAAUUAUUUUUUUAUUGAAGGGUAGUUGACACACAGUAUUACAUUAGUUUCAGGUGUACAACACAGUGAUUCAACAUUUAUAUACAUGAUAAUUCUAGGUACCAGCUAUGACCAUACCAAGUUGUUACAAUAUUUUGACUAUAUUCCUUAUGCUAUACAAGGAAUGUAUUUUUAAUCGCAUACAAUCAAACAUAAUUAAAAAUAUAUUGAGGGAUUACAUUCAGCUGCAAGAGGAAACAGUCUUCGUGAGAGUUAGACGGUGUUUACCCUCACAUGGAAGGAGUGAGUCAGAGCCACUGGUUCUGUGUACAAUGUAGUAAAGAAACAA